GGUUCGAUGGUGUAGUUGGUUAUCACGUCAGUCUAACAUCCCAGUUGGUUCACUGAAGGUCUCCAGUUCAAGUCUGGGUCGAAUCA
This is a non-coding RNA of Curvularia kusanoi, 86 nucleotides long. The record is from the annotation of a GenBank genome assembly. NCBI's taxonomy places the organism in Eukaryota, Fungi, Ascomycota, Dothideomycetes, Pleosporales, Pleosporaceae.